Molecule: long non-coding RNA, 2327 nt
Filed under: Sparus aurata (gilthead seabream)
Lineage: Eukaryota; Metazoa; Chordata; Actinopteri; Spariformes; Sparidae
Description: lncRNA (ENSSAUG00010020679.1)
Source: RNAcentral
GAAAUUUGAUUAGGGAUCUUAUAGCGUAUAGACACUAAACCAUGUUUAUCAGUCAUGGGGUGACACACAUUACAGUUAGUUGUACAACAGGCUCCACUAAGACUCCGCCCACUGACAGGGACACUAUAAAGCAGUUAGUUGUUUGUGCAGAGUAGAAGCAAAUCUGUUUUCAAGAUGAGGGGGCUCUUAUCACUCAGUUUGAUGGUCUUCGUUCUAACAGAAUCCACGAAGGAAGAAGAUAUGCCUGCCUUUGGAUCCAGAACAGCAACGGGUGGGGGCGGGUUUAACUCAACAAACAACUCGACAACCAACUCAACAAUGGCAACAGAGGUGCCCGCAGUAAGUGAGGUAGAGGCUGAUGGUGUUCGGGUGGCGAUUAGCAGUUCCGAUGGGUUCAGAAGACCACCUGCGAAUGGAGAGGAUACCAAGAUGCCUCAGGGAGACACGGCGCCGACUCCAACUAAGAAGACAUUACUAGACUUAAGUACCGUUAUCCUUUUGGAAAAUGAAAAAGAUUGUCCUUCGAGGCCAAGUGACGGUAAUGUGGACCAGCAAAAAUGAAAGAAGACUGACAGCAGAAGAAUGAACAGACACUGACAGGUUUAAACUCUGACAGUCACAGAAAUGCUGCUUUAACAGCCUAUUCAAAUAAACAUUUGAAGCCUGUUGUGUGAGAAGUUCUUUAUUUGUUAAUAUUAUUGGAUAGAGGUCAAAUGAAACAUCUAUUUUUUUUAAGAGCAGGCACCUUUGAUAAUGUAUGCUUGCUUCGUCAAAGUCAACACCUACUCUGACAAACCGAGACGCCAGGGGAAAUCAGUAAGCAAUUAUUGGAGAGAUUUGGCAGGUGGACACAAGUCUUGAGUUUACAAAUGGAAAAAAAACACGUAGAUACUGUAUAAUUUUCCAUUUUCAGUGUUUAAAGAUUUAGACAAGACUUCAUUCACAAGGAUCACUUUAUUUUCUGUGUUAGACUCUUUUCUUUUCAUCACAAAUAUUAUCCAAGUCCACCCAAAAUUUGCCAGCAGGGAUCAAUGCUCCCCGACAUCUUUUAUGCAAAGGACAGAAACAUAGAACACAUUUCCAGUUCUUCUUCACCUUUCUAAAACAUAACUGUGCUCUCAGUAAAAACCCAUUUGAUUUUAACCAGGCAUACCACUGUCUUGUAAGCAGAUAGUUCUCUGUUGUUUUGGGGACAAUUUGAUUUUACAGAGGAGCAGUUGCUGUCACUGUCUGGAAAUUAGGUUAUGCAAAAGCAACAACCUGUUCUACACACCUGCAAUGAGGGCUGACACAGCACAUUUACUUAUGAGAAAAAAGCCUUGAUGAUAAUAAUAAAAAAUGAUCUCUUCCUUUUAUUAAAAAAAUGCACAUCUGUUAAUCUUUAUAUUAACUGACAGUGAUUUUUCUAAAAUGUCUAUAUUUAAUUUCUACUUUUAGUACAUUUUUUUCAUUUUUUAUUUUCCCAAAAUGGCAUCCAUGCAGGGAUUAAAGAAGCCCAAAGCAGUUUUCUUGGAAACCAAAAAAAAAGCUAUAUUUACAUUAACCAAAGUAUUCUGUGUGUGACCUAAUUUUUUAGUAUUUUUGAAGGAGCAGUGUGCAGGACUUAGUGGAAUCUAGUGGUGACGUUGCAGAUUGCAAGCGUCUGAACAUCCCUCAUCUCACCCUCCCCCAUAGUUGCCACUGAAAACAUAGACAGUGUGGAAGACCCUCUCUAGAGUCAGUUGCUGUGUCUCAAUUCAGGGCCUGCAUCCUUCAAAGGACCCAGCCUUUGCGGUCCUCGAAGGCAAGUGCUUCGGAGAGACUUUGUUAACCACCCCAACCGUUGUUAAAUGGGACAGUCUGGCCUUUGGAGCAUUUCCUGGUUGUGUCACCAGCUGUUUUCCUCUUACGUCACGAUUUCUGCCGUCCAGGCCCACAAAAGUGAUCAUCUACACCACACAAUGUUGCCAUUUUCUCUCUUUCUUUCUUCUUAUUCGGGCGCGCAAAGAAUCUUGGGAUAUGUGAGGUCACGAGGGAUAGUAGUGGUGCAUCCUCCAAAAAGAGGGAAAAGAAGGCUGCAUUUGGAGGAGCCUUUGAAUUGGUACAGUCUUUGAAUUGGUACAGUCUUUGAAUUGGGACAGCCUUUGUGCGACAUUGUGACGUAAUUGUCCCUUUAAAUGAGGCCUCCGAAGGGUGCAGACCCUGAAUUGAGACACAGAAUAUGUUUGGUUUGUCCCCUUUGGGCUACAGUACAAAAUAGCAGAUUCUGUGGAAGACGAACCGCUCUCUCUGUAGAUUCUUAGUUUCAGGUGAUUAUACACAAACAAAAACAUAAUUAUGAAUAUUAU